AGUAGUGGAAGGCUAGCUUACGGAGACUGCAUUAAUGCAGUUUUCUGAGGAAAGUCCGCCCUCCCCGUCUUUUCUUUCUUUUAGAAAAAGAAAGAAAAUAUAGGUUGUCAAAAGAAAGAAAACUUUUUUUUGGCAAACCCUGAAAGGGAAUGCUCGAAAGGGCAUCUUUGGGAACAGAAACGAACCUGCAAAGAAUUACUGUGAUUUAAAUUGAGUUUUCUUUGAAAGGAUGAAACGGCCUGAAGUUGGGAGCAAGUUUAAAACGCUAAGACGAAUGCUAGCAAGCUUGGCAGGUUUAAAUCCUGCGAAGUUCUUCAAUGAACUUUACUGCAAAUGCAGGGCUUAACAGAAGGUGGCUUACUCUCCACUGCU
This 372-nucleotide RNase P RNA is filed under the name Candidatus Diapherotrites archaeon CG08_land_8_20_14_0_20_34_12. RNAcentral describes it as "RNase P RNA component". It matches the Rfam family "Archaeal RNase P". From Rfam's summary of the family: Ribonuclease P (RNase P) is a ubiquitous endoribonuclease, found in archaea, bacteria and eukarya as well as chloroplasts and mitochondria. Its best characterised activity is the generation of mature 5'-ends of tRNAs by cleaving the 5'-leader elements of precursor-tRNAs. Cellular RNase Ps are ribonucleoproteins. Lineage: Archaea; Nanobdellati; Candidatus Iainarchaeota. The record is from RNAcentral.